This 1243-nucleotide long non-coding RNA is filed under the name Callithrix jacchus (white-tufted-ear marmoset). RNAcentral's name for it is "lncRNA (ENSCJAG00000073903.1)". Lineage: Eukaryota; Metazoa; Chordata; Mammalia; Primates; Cebidae. The record is from RNAcentral.
AUGUUAAAAAUGAUCCAGGGCUUAAAGAGGAGGAAAGAAAUUCAAGGCAAUCAAACCCAUGAAGGAUGUCAUAUUUAUUCUCUGAGAAUCCUGGAAAUUCUGGCCAUUUAUGUCAACAUUCUUCCUUAUUUGCUAUGUGUUAGUCUCCAGUGGGGUCUCUAGGUGAACAAGUCCUUAAGGAGCUCGAUCAUGUGGGGAAAGAGUCAAACAUGUCAACAUUCCACAGUUAAAAUGAUUUGGUGACAGUGAAUACAUUGCAGAGUACAGAGAACAGAGUGACAAAUAUUGGCAUUUUCUGAGGUCAGAGGUCACAGUCCUCUCCUCUCAUUCCUCCCCACACCUACUCAGCAUGAUGCUCCUCUCCUGGCUGGUGUGUCCAAAGAGAUAGAGCUUCCUCUUCCCUCAGCUCCCAAUAUAGGGUUACCGUGUUUGCUUCUUGAAGAGAGGGCCAGGCCUCCAACAAGUCUCAUCCCCUCCAGCUCUAUUUGAGAAAGACUAAAUUCAUGGUGAGUGUGGUCAGAAGGUGAGGAGCUCCCUUUUUUCACUCUGCCUCUACUAAUAAGAGGUAGGUCCUCAGCUGCAGCUGCCUGAGACUACUGGAAGUCAAUUACCUUCACUCAAGCUCACUCAUAGUGCAGAGGUUCCAACCUGGGACAGGCAGCCAGGAAAACAAGAAGCUACCACCGUGUUCAAUGCACAGAAAGCAACUCAGAGAUUUAGCUCAUGGGGAGAGAAAGUCUAAAAGAAAAAAGAGCUUUGAAAUUCCCCACAAAGAAUCUAACUUUGUUUGGAUAAAGUUUUAAAUUUUGAUGUUUAAUAUCUGAAAAUCAAUUAAUGUAAUAUAGCUCAGCUGAAUUAAGAAAUUCCGCAUGGUCAUUGUAAUAGAUGCAGAAAAAGCAUUUGACAAAAUUCAGUACCACUUUAUGAUAAAAACAUUGGAUAAACUAGAAAGAGAAGGGAAUAUUCUCCACUUGAUAAAGGGCAACUACAAUAAAUUCCUCAGCUAACAUUGUAUUUAGUGUGCUUUCCCCCUAAAACUCCGUACAACACAUGAUUUUCUGCUCUUACCACUUCUACUCAAUAAUGUAUUGGAGAUAGUGUACAGGCAGUAGAAUUUCACUAAAUACUGCUGACAGGUCCUCCAAAAAUGUUCCAUCUUUAAAUAGCAUGAAAGUAUUAGGAUGCUUCUUUUCUUAUCCCAUCUAAAACAUUUUUACAUCUACAAUCUGUGAAAAAUAGUUAU